RNAcentral lists this ribosomal RNA (798 nucleotides) under uncultured Glomeromycotina. RNAcentral's name for it is "SSU rRNA". It matches the Rfam family "Eukaryotic small subunit ribosomal RNA", at positions 314 to 1114 of the family's 1831-position model. Lineage: Eukaryota; Fungi; Glomeromycota. The record is from RNAcentral.
AUCAACUUUCGAUGUUAGGAUAGAGGCCUACCAUGGUGGUAACGGGUAACGGGGUGUUAGGGCACGACACCGGAGAGGGAGCCUGAGAAACGGCUACCACAUCCAAGGAUGGCAGCAGGCGCGCAAAUUACCCAAUCCCGACACGGGGAGGUAGUGACAAUAAAUAACAAUACGGGGUCCUUUCGGGUUUCGUAAUUGGAAUGAGUACAAUUUAAAUCUCUUAACGAGGAACAAUUGGAGGGCAAGUCUGGUGCCAGCAGCCGCGGUAAUUCCAGCUCCAAUAGCGUAUAUUAAAGUUGUUGCAGUUAAAAAGCUCGUAGUUGAAUUUCGGGAUUAGUACGUUGGUCGUGCCUUCGGUACGUACUGGUGUUACUGAUUCCUACCUUCUGACGAACCAUCAUGUCAUUAAUUUGGUGUGGUGGGGAAUCAGGACUGUUACUUUGAAAAAAUUAGAGUGUUUAAAGCAGGCUCGCGCUUGAAUACAUUAGCAUGGAAUAAUGAAAUAGGACGUUGACCCUAUUUUGUUGGUUUCUAGGAUUGACGUAAUGAUUAAUAGGGAUAGUUGGGGGCAUUAGUAUUCAAUUGUCAGAGGUGAAAUUCUUGGAUUUAUUGAAGACUAACUACUGCGAAAGCAUUUGCCAAGGAUGUUUUCAUUAAUCAAGAACGAAAGUUAGGGGAUCGAAGACGAUCAGAUACCGUCGUAGUCUUAACCAUAAACUAUGCCGACUAGGGAUCGGAUGAUGUUAAUUUUUUAAUGACUCAUUCGGCGCCUUACGGGAAACCAAAGUGUUUGGGUUC